AGGACGAACGCUGGCGGCGUGCUUAACACAUGCAAGUCGAGCGGUAAGGCCUUUCGGGGUACACGAGCGGCGAACGGGUGAGUAACGCGUGGGUGAUCUGCCCUGCACUUCGGGAUAAGCCUGGGAAACUGGGUCUAAUACCGGAUAUGACCUCCUAUCGCAUGGUGGGUGGUGGAAAGAUUUAUCGGUGCAGGAUGGGCCCGCGGCCUAUCAGCUUGUUGGUGGGGUAAUGGCCUACCAAGGCGACGACGGGUAGCCGACCUGAGAGGGUGACCGGCCACACUGGGACUGAG
RNAcentral lists this ribosomal RNA (293 nucleotides) under uncultured soil bacterium. RNAcentral describes it as "partial 16S ribosomal RNA". It matches the Rfam family "Bacterial small subunit ribosomal RNA", at positions 26 to 323 of the family's 1533-position model. The record is from RNAcentral.